GCCUAACACAUGCAAGUCGAGCGGCAGCACGGGAAGCUUGCUUCCUGGUGGCGAGCGGCGGACGGGUGAGUAAUGCAUAGGAAUCUGCCCGGUAGUGGGGGAUAACCUGGGGAAACCCAGGCUGAUACCGCAUACGUCCUACGGGAGAAAGCAGGGGCUCUUCGGACCUUGCGCUAUCGGAUGAGCCUAUGUCGGAUUAGCUGGUUGGUGAGGUAAUGGCUCACCAAGGCGACGAUCCGUAGCUGGUCUGAGAGGAUGAUCAGCCACAUCGGGACUGAGACACGGCCCGAACUCCUACGGGAGGCAGCAGUGGGGAAUAUUGGACAAUGGGCGCAAGCCUGAUCCAGCCAUGCCGCGUGUGUGAGGAGGGCCCUCGGGUUGUAAAGCACUUUCAGUGGGGAAGAACGCCUUCCGGUUAAUACCCGGGAGGAAAGACAUCACCCACAGAAGAAGCACCGGCUAACUCCGUGCCAGCAGCCGCGGUAAUACGGAGGGUGCGAGCGUUAAUCGGAAUUACUGGGCGUAAAGCGCGCGUAGGUGGCUUGAUAAGCCGGUUGUGAAAGCCCCGGGCUCAACCUGGGAACGGCAUCCGGAACUGUCAGGCUAGAGUGCAGGAGAGGAAGGUAGAAUUCCCGGUGUAGCGGUGAAAUGCGUAGAGAUCGGGAGGAAUACCAGUGGCGAAGGCGGCCUCUGGACUGACACUGACACUGAGGUGCGAAAGCGUGGGUAGCAAACAGGAUUAGAUACCCUGGUAGUCCACGCCGUAAACGAUGUCGACUAGCCGUUGGGUCCUUCGCGGACUUUGUGGCGCAGUUAACGCGAUAAGUCGACCGCCUGGGGAGUACGGCCGCAAGGUUAAAACUCAAAUGAAUUGACGGGGGCCCGCACAAGCGGUGGAGCAUGUGGUUUAAUUCGAUGCAACGCGAAGAACCUUACCUACCCUUGACAUCCUGCGAACCCUUCGGAGACGAAGGGGUGCCUUCGGGAACGCAGAGACAGGUGCUGCAUGGCUGUCGUCAGCUCGUGUUGUGAAAUGUUGGGUUAAGUCCCGUAACGAGCGCAACCCUUGUCCCUAUUUGCCAGCGAUUCGGUCGGGAACUCUAGGGAGACUGCCGGUGACAAACCGGAGGAAGGUGGGGACGACGUCAAGUCAUCAUGGCCCUUACGGGUAGGGCUACACACGUGCUACAAUGGUCAGUACAAAGGGUUGCGAACUUGCGAGAGUGAGCCAAUCCCAGAAAGCUGAUCUCAGUCCGGAUCGGAGUCUGCAACUCGACUCCGUGAAGUCGGAAUCGCUAGUAAUCGUGAAUCAGAAUGUCACGGUGAAUACGUUCCCGGGCCUUGUACACACCGCCCGUCACACCAUGGGAGUGGACUGCACCAGAAGUGGUUAGCCUAACCUUCGGGAGGGCGAUCACCACGGUGUGGUUCAUGACUGGGGUGAAGUCGUAACAAGGUAGCCGUAGGGGAACCUGNGGCUGGAUCACCUCC
RNAcentral lists this ribosomal RNA (1491 nucleotides) under uncultured Halomonas sp. RNAcentral's name for it is "bacterial SSU rRNA". It matches the Rfam family "Bacterial small subunit ribosomal RNA". The record is from RNAcentral. Lineage: Bacteria; Pseudomonadati; Pseudomonadota; Gammaproteobacteria; Oceanospirillales; Halomonadaceae.